AUUGAACGCUGGCGGCAGGCUUAACACAUGCAAGUCGAGCGGGGUGAUGGUGCUUGCACUAUCACUUAGCGGCGGACGGGUGAGUAAUGCUUAGGAAUCUGCCUAUUAGUGGGGGACAACAUCUCGAAAGGGAUGCUAAUACCGCAUACGUCCUACGGGAGAAAGCAGGGGAUCACUUGUGACCUUGCGCUAAUAGAUGAGCCUAAGUCGGAUUAGCUAGUUGGUGGGGUAGAGGCCUACCAAGGCGACGAUCUGUAGCGGGUCUGAGAGGAUGAUCCGCCACACUGGGACUGAGCCACGGCCCAGACUCCUACGGGAGGCAGCAGUGGGGAAUAUUGGACAAUGGGGGGAACCCUGAUCCAGCCAUGCCGCGUGUGUGAAGAAGGCCUUAUGGUUGUAAAGCACUUUAAGCGAGGAGGAGGCUCUUUUGGUUAAUACCCAAGAUGAGUGGACGUUACUCGCAGAAUAAGCACCGGCUAACUCUGUGCCAGCAGCCGCAGUAA
This 503-nucleotide ribosomal RNA is filed under the name uncultured bacterium. Its description in RNAcentral is "partial 16S ribosomal RNA". It matches the Rfam family "Bacterial small subunit ribosomal RNA", at positions 30 to 523 of the family's 1533-position model. The record is from RNAcentral.